GUGCCAGCAGCCGCGGUAAUACGUAGGUGGCGAGCGUUGUCCGGAUUUACUGGGCGUAAAGAGCGCGCAGGCGGUCGAUCAAGUCGGAUGUGAAAGCCCCCGGCUCAACUGGGGAGGGUCAUUCGAUACUGGUCGACUCGAAGGCAGGAGAGGGAAGCGGAAUUCCCGGUGUAGUGGUGAAAUGCGUAGAUAUCGGGAGGAACACCAGUGGCGAAGGCGGCUUCCUGGCCUGUUCUUGACGCUGAGGCGCGAAAGCUAGGGGAGCAAACGGGAUUAGAUACCCCAGUAGUCC
This 292-nucleotide ribosomal RNA is filed under the name uncultured bacterium. RNAcentral's name for it is "partial 16S ribosomal RNA". It matches the Rfam family "Bacterial small subunit ribosomal RNA", at positions 505 to 796 of the family's 1533-position model. The record is from RNAcentral.